GAAGCCCACCAGACCACCGCUGGUGCAAUUCUGGAAACAGAGCACUGGAGGAACGUCCGGACUGCACAGGGCAGCGUAGCAGUUAACAACUGUCCACCGACAAGGUUUGCAUGCAAAUGCAGGCUCCUAAGGUGAGGAUUAGAGCAACAGAGACGAGUCGAUGGAACAACCCCAAGGGUGUUCUAUGCGUGUAGCGCGGCGCAAGCCGUGCCCCGGGUAACCGGGUGCGCAUAGCCACCCGACGGGCGAAGCCCGUCGGGUGAAACGGGCAAUCUCUACGCGCAGCAAUACCAAGUAGGCACACGUUGACGGGGCCCCCGGAGUGUGCGGGUAGGUAGCAUUGAGCCGUCCAGGUGACUGGCGGCCCAGAUUAAUGGUGGUCACGUGAGGGGAAACCCUCAUGCACAGAAUCCGGCUUAUCGGUGGGCUUCACAC
Molecule: RNase P RNA, 435 nt
Filed under: Rhodoferax lacus
Lineage: Bacteria; Pseudomonadati; Pseudomonadota; Betaproteobacteria; Burkholderiales; Comamonadaceae
Description: Bacterial RNase P class A
Rfam family: Bacterial RNase P class A
About the family: Ribonuclease P (RNase P) is a ubiquitous endoribonuclease, found in archaea, bacteria and eukarya as well as chloroplasts and mitochondria. Its best characterised activity is the generation of mature 5'-ends of tRNAs by cleaving the 5'-leader elements of precursor-tRNAs. Cellular RNase Ps are ribonucleoproteins.
Source: Rfam by way of RNAcentral